This 58-nucleotide transfer RNA is filed under the name Dipodomys ordii (Ord's kangaroo rat). It matches the Rfam family "tRNA", at positions 8 to 63 of the family's 71-position model. From Rfam's summary of the family: Transfer RNA (tRNA) molecules are approximately 80 nucleotides in length. Their secondary structure includes four short double-helical elements and three loops (D, anti-codon, and T loops). Further hydrogen bonds mediate the characteristic L-shaped molecular structure. tRNAs have two regions of fundamental functional importance: the anti-codon, which is responsible for specific mRNA codon recognition, and the 3' end, to which the tRNAs corresponding amino acid is attached (by aminoacyl-tRNA synthetases). tRNAs cope with the degeneracy of the genetic code in two manners: having more than one tRNA (with a specific anti-codon) for a particular amino acid; and 'wobble' base-pairing, i.e. permitting non-standard base-pairing at the 3rd anti-codon position. The record is from Rfam by way of RNAcentral. Lineage: Eukaryota; Metazoa; Chordata; Mammalia; Rodentia; Heteromyidae.
UGGCUCAGUGGUAGAGUGCUUGCCUUGCAUGCUUGAGGCCCUGGGUUCGAUUCCCCAG